Oreochromis niloticus (Nile tilapia) is the source of this 1780-nucleotide long non-coding RNA. RefSeq lists it as uncharacterized. The record is from RefSeq and is a predicted model, not a curated record. The transcript has 2 exons. NCBI's taxonomy places the organism in Eukaryota, Metazoa, Chordata, Actinopteri, Cichliformes, Cichlidae.
GUGUGUCAAGUAGCUGCCAGGCCAGAGGUUUUGUGUGAUUGUUUUUAAAAAACAAUUUUCUUUUUUCUUUGAAGCUCAACUCAAGACUUUGCAGCUUAAUGAAAAUAGAUAGAAGUGUCACACAUCGUAUCACCCUCAGACAAAUGGCCUCGACGAAAAGACAAAUGACAACAUAAAAAGGUAUGUUUUAUUUGUAUGUAACAUUUCAUUUGCUUUUAAGACACUGUCACUAUUGUGGUUUUUUUAUGUCCACAUGUAGAGCCCUGAGAAAAUUAGUCAACAGUCAAAAGAAUGACUGGGAUGUGUAUCUGGAUGCUAAACUGUUUUCUUUGAGGUUCAAGGUCCACACCACAACCAAAUACACACCAUUCCGUUUAAUGUAUGGGAGAGAAGCUACGUAUCCUUCUGAAGUUCCUGUUGAAGUCCCAGUAAGUGUUAUUAAGGAAUUUUAUUUAUGCAACAACUAUGAUAAUGCAUAAAUUAAAUGUAAUCUUAAUUGGAAAUUGUGCAUAUUGAUAUUGGCUGCAGCUUUAAUCUUCUCUGUUUAACUUCUAUAUGCAAGAUACAUUUAAAAGAUAAAGUAAGUGACUAGUUACUUCUUUAUGUUUGUAUCUUUAUGUAAAGUAAUAAAUGUUGAGGAGACCUUUAAGUAUAAUGUGUUCACCUAUGGAAGUGUAUCAAGAGGAAGAAGUGAGUAUACAAAAAAAUGAUAUGAGUCUAUCUUUGUGGCUUUCUGUGCUCAAAGCUUUAUAAUAGUAUAUUUACUUUUAAACAUGAGUUAUUAUAGUUAGAAUUUUCAGUUCAUGUUUCACAUGCAUUAUUUGUCUUUAUGAUUUUAAUUGUAAUUUAAAAUGUGUCCUCCAUCAUUCUCCCUGAGGAGCCGAGUUACGGUGACUUUGUAUCUUCUACAAGAGACGCACAAGAGCAAGUUAAAAAAAACACUGUCGAGGAAAAUAUGGCAAAGUCCCAAGACUUACAAAAGGAAGCCUAUGCCAGACAAGUCCAGAAGAAGUACAGAAACCUUGUGUACAGCUUUGGUGAUGAAGUUCUUCUCUUGAACAUGAGGAAACGUGGAAGGAAGGGAGGAAGGUUUGAUCCAGAUUUUUCAGGACCCUAGACCAUUCAAGACAUCCCUGGCAAAUGUGUGAGAUUAAAAAACACGGAAGGAGCAACUUUAACUACAACUUCACUACAGCAUUGACCAUAUCAAGCCGUACAGAAGAAGCCACCAUGUAAAUGUCAGUGACAAUGAAAAAUACCCAACUCACAGUCAGACAGUGAACAGCAGCACAGACCUGAAGAUGCCCCCCUGCCAUCCUCCGGCUAACCCUCAGUGCCAGCAAAGUCCAGAGGAUACCAGACCCUCUAUUAUUUGGAGAGGUCAGUGAGGUGUUACCCACUACAGAAGCAGUUGUGCUGGAGCAAAUGCAGAUAGCUUGCACCCUACUUGAACAUCGAGGGAACGCUGAGGACUACUGCAUUGUUUGCUCUAUGUUAGAUGCUGAUGCUGACCGCAGCAUGAUGGCAAAACAAAUGGCAAAACAAAACAAAAGAAACACAUAAGUCUUAGUAUCAUUACUUGCUAAUCAUGUUGACUAAUAGUAUUCACCAAACAUAAUAUGAGCUAUUUAUUUUUCCUUUCCAGGUGCAGUGUGAAUUUUGCCAAAGAUGGGCACAUUUUGCAUGUGCAAAAUAUAAAGAGAGCAACCAAGAAUAUAAAUGCAAAAAAUGUAAGGAAAACACAUAACAACUUCAAAUAAAAACAGCUGUCUUUUCCCCU